AGUAAUGCCUAGGAAUCUGCCUGGUAGUGGGGGAUAACGUUCGGAAACGGACGCUAAUACCGCAUACGUCCUACGGGAGAAAGCAGGGGACCUUCGGGCCUUGCGCUAUCAGAUGAGCCUAGGUCGGAUUAGCUAGUUGGUGAGGUAAUGGCUCACCAAGGCGACGAUCCGUAACUGGUCUGAGAGGAUGAUCAGUCACACUGGAACUGAGACACGGUCCAGACUCCUACGGGAGGCAGCAGUGGGGAAUAUUGGACAAUGGGCGAAAGCCUGAUCCAGCCAUGCCGCGUGUGUGAAGAAGGUCUUCGGAUUGUAAAGCACUUUAAGUUGGGAGGAAGGGUUGUAGAUUAAUACUCUGCAAUUUUGACGUUACCGACAGAAUAAGCACCGGCUAACUCUGUGCCAGCAGCCGCGGUAAUACAGAGGGUGCAAGCGUUAAUCGGAAUUACUGGGCGUAAAGCGCGCGUAGGUGGUUUGUUAAGUUGGAUGUGAAAUCCCCGGGCUCAACCUGGGAACUGCAUUCAAAACUGACUGACUAGAGUAUGGUAGAGGGUGGUGGAAUUUCCUGUGUAGCGGUGAAAUGCGUAGAUAUAGGAAGGAACACCAGUGGCGAAGGCGACCACCUGGACUAAUACUGACACUGAGGUGCGAAAGCGUGGGGAGCAAACAGGAUUAGAUACCCUGGUAGUCCACGCCGUAAACGAUGUCAUUUAGCCGCUGGAAGCCUUGAGCUUUU
RNAcentral lists this ribosomal RNA (736 nucleotides) under Bacillus amyloliquefaciens. RNAcentral describes it as "bacterial SSU rRNA". It matches the Rfam family "Bacterial small subunit ribosomal RNA", at positions 109 to 841 of the family's 1533-position model. The record is from RNAcentral. Lineage: Bacteria; Bacillati; Bacillota; Bacilli; Caryophanales; Bacillaceae.